GAUUGGCUCAGGAUGAACGCUAGCUACAGGCUUAACACAUGCAAGUCGAGGGGCAGCAUGGUCUUAGCUUGCUAAGGCCGAUGGCGACCGGCGCACGGGUGAGUAACACGUAUCCAACCUGCCGUCUACUCUUGGACAGCCUUCUGAAAGGAAGAUUAAUACAAGAUGGCAUCAUGAGUCCGCAUGUUCACAUGAUUAAAGGUAUUCCGGUAGACGAUGGGG
RNAcentral lists this ribosomal RNA (222 nucleotides) under uncultured bacterium. RNAcentral's name for it is "partial 16S ribosomal RNA". It matches the Rfam family "Bacterial small subunit ribosomal RNA", at positions 17 to 230 of the family's 1533-position model. The record is from RNAcentral.